Bombus terrestris (buff-tailed bumblebee) is the source of this 389-nucleotide long non-coding RNA. RefSeq lists it as uncharacterized. NCBI's taxonomy places the organism in Eukaryota, Metazoa, Arthropoda, Insecta, Hymenoptera, Apidae. The record is from RefSeq and is a predicted model, not a curated record. The transcript has 3 exons.
CAGGCCCCCGUUACUGAGAUCCAACUGUUUUGGACCCGUUGACAAUUGUAUAGCCUGCAAUAACGCAUGUGAUACAGCGUGUUGUCAAUGUUUUGCGAAGUUACGUAUUCAAGUAUACUUUACGAACUUGGAGAAUUAAUAUCAAUUAGUAUGUAACGCUGAAAGAAAAUAGAAGACGCAAAGAGAGAACGUGGGGCUAAUCGUGCAAGAAGAGUCAUCGUGUUAUAUUUUUCCUACAACCGCAUACAACUUUUAUACGAGCAAAUAAGUUCCAUUACCUCGGACUCGAGAGAGUCCGCGUCGAUGGCGUCCCUGUCAAAGUCACGUUCCUCCAUAAUGGCGACCAAAUCCCCGAGAUACACCAUUUUUCACGUAUUCAUCAAUUUCUA